Small nuclear RNA from Aethalodelphis obliquidens (Pacific white-sided dolphin), 102 nucleotides. NCBI's taxonomy places the organism in Eukaryota, Metazoa, Chordata, Mammalia, Artiodactyla, Delphinidae. The record is from RefSeq and is a predicted model, not a curated record.
UUGCUUUGGCAGCAUGUAUACUAAAUUGAAAUGAUACAGAGAAGAUUAGCAUGGCCCCUGAACAAGGAUGACAUGCAAAUUUGUGAAGCAUUCCAUAUUUUU